AGCUACUUGGCUGAUAGGAAAGCUUAUGUUUUGAAAACAUAAAAUAAAGGUUCAAAUCCUUUAGUAGUUU
Molecule: transfer RNA, 70 nt
Filed under: Paralepas cf. quadrata
Lineage: Eukaryota; Metazoa; Arthropoda; Thecostraca; Heteralepadidae
Description: tRNA-Ser
Rfam family: tRNA
About the family: Transfer RNA (tRNA) molecules are approximately 80 nucleotides in length. Their secondary structure includes four short double-helical elements and three loops (D, anti-codon, and T loops). Further hydrogen bonds mediate the characteristic L-shaped molecular structure. tRNAs have two regions of fundamental functional importance: the anti-codon, which is responsible for specific mRNA codon recognition, and the 3' end, to which the tRNAs corresponding amino acid is attached (by aminoacyl-tRNA synthetases). tRNAs cope with the degeneracy of the genetic code in two manners: having more than one tRNA (with a specific anti-codon) for a particular amino acid; and 'wobble' base-pairing, i.e. permitting non-standard base-pairing at the 3rd anti-codon position.
Source: RNAcentral